ACAGGGGAUUCACCAAGGAAAAUGCUAUUCACAUCCUCACGAAGAACUGAUGAGAUUCUGAAUAUAGAUGGAAGCAUAAUUUUCUCACAUUCUUUUUGGUUAAAGAGAUCUGCAGGAUGAAUUUUGAAAGAUCAGGAGAUCAAGUAUCCAGGCAUCCUAAUGUCUCAAAGUCCAGGAGUGACCUUCAGAGUGACAUUUAGGAACUAUCCCAGUGACUCUUUGACAAAGACUCAUCUGGACGUGAACUUGAUGGGAACAAUGUUAUAUAGAAACUGUGUGACGAGUUAGUCUGCUCUUUCCCAGAAAUCCAG
Sarcophilus harrisii (Tasmanian devil) is the source of this 311-nucleotide long non-coding RNA. RefSeq lists it as uncharacterized. The transcript is spliced from 2 exons. The record is from RefSeq and is a predicted model, not a curated record. NCBI's taxonomy places the organism in Eukaryota, Metazoa, Chordata, Mammalia, Dasyuromorphia, Dasyuridae.